Non-coding RNA from Sus scrofa (pig), 3558 nucleotides. The record is from RefSeq and is a predicted model, not a curated record. Lineage: Eukaryota; Metazoa; Chordata; Mammalia; Artiodactyla; Suidae.
GAAGCGGAGGAACCAAUGAGUGCGAGGUGUUGAGUGACAGCUGUCCAAUAGGGACCCUCAGUGCUAGUACGGUUUACGGCUUAAGCGCCGCCGCCGUGGUCUGAGGAAUGUCAACUAUUCAACAUGGAGGCGGAGGUCGAUAAGCUUGAACUGAUGGAAAAUAACAAGAUUAAGUAAAGAAGCCAUCUCCAUCGCAGUCCUUUCCUCCUACCACUGCCAUUCCCUGGCAUUACUGCUCAGGUAUCAUUGUGCCUUUGCUGCUUCCUUCAAGAUGAACCUUGGGUCUCUUAAAUACCUGCAACACUUAAAUACCUGCAACGUGUAGUGAUCUUGGAAGAAACAGUAUCAUCGUCACACCCCAUUCCCACCCCCAGAAAGUUUGAGACCUUGAUUAGGGUCAAUCCUACCAAGUAGCUGAAGUGGACAUUUAAAGGAAGAUUGGUGAAAAUAAUGGAAAGUGUUUUCGCAUCAAUCAACAUUAUUAAUGGAGGAAUAAGCUCAUUUUCCAGAAAGCUGACUCUGAUCUGGAUUACAUUCAGUACAGGCUGGAAUAUGAAAUCAAGACAAAUUAUCCUGAUUCAGCAGGCAAGAAAAAUCCAGUUACACUCUUAAAAGAAUUGUCAGCAAUAAAGUCUCGAUAUCACGGUUUGCAUACACGCUUUAAACCAAUUGCUGCUGAGCAGAAAGAGACCAAGAGCCGCAUUUGUGCUACUUUCAAUAAGACUAUGACCUUGAUACGAGAACUACAAAAGCAAACGGACCUGGAGCUAUUACCACUGACGGAAGAAGAGAAAACUGCGGCAGAGCAAUUAAAAGCGCACAUGUCAGAUUUAUGAAGAAAUGGACUUGCAAAAGGAAACUCUAAUGGUGAAGAGAUCCCUUCCAGAGGGAUCUAGGAAGAUGUCUUGUUAGCAUUUGAUGACUACUGGUGGGGGGAUGACAAAGAAGAUUUGGCUUGGGUGAUUGGUUAGUGAUGCCUUCUGCAAAAAACAGGAAUAUAGGAAGGGCAGAUACUAUCAAAGUUCAGCCAAAAGGAUGGGAUGAAAAUAAAAAGAUUAAAAAAUAUAUGCACACACACACACACACUUGUUAUUUCAGGAAAGGAAGUCUCAACACCAUUUUGUAUUUAUUUUUGUAUAAUCAGGAUAACAUAGAUGUCCUAGCCUAUUAUAAAAGUAUAUUCAUGUACUGUCAGUCAGUCAAAUGAGACUGAACAUGCUUUGGAAAUUAAAGGAUAGAAAAAAUAUUUGUAUCAUAUAUAUGUAUAGAAUUUUAUAAUUAAAAAUUCUGAUUACAGAGGUGGUCACAUUAUUGAUGAGAUUGCUAAUAAACAGUCUCCUGCCAUACCUAACUUACAUAAUAAGCUGGCUUUUCUGUGACAGUUUCACCUUGUUUAAUGUUUUUGCUUUUUUCUUUUUUUGCCUUUUUAGGGCCACACCGCAGCACAGGGAAGUUCCCAGGCUAGGGGUCAAAUCAGUGUUGUAGCUGCCAGCCUACCCCACAGCCACAGCAGCAAGGGAUCUGAGCCUCACCCGAGACCUACACCACUGCUCACAGCAACACCCAUCCCUGACCCACUGAGCAAGGCCAGGGAUUGAACCUACAUCCUUAUGGAUACUAGUUGGGUUCAUUACCACUGAGCUACAAGGGGAACUAUUUGCCUGCUAAUGUUGAGCAACAUAAGCUCUGCUUUCAAAUGCUGUUUUAGACUAUCUAUAUUGUAUUUCAACACUACUUUUGUUCUCUAGCCUGUAUUACUUUGUUUAUUCUAUGUGAAAGCUAAGAAACUGAAAUGAGGGCAUUCCCACUGUGGCACAGUAGGUUAAUGAUUUGGCUUGUCUCUGUGGAGGUGACGCUUCGAUCCCUAGUCUGGGCCAGGGGGUUAAGGAUCCAGUGUUGCUGCAGGUGUGACAUAGGUCACACCCCCUGCUUGGAUUUGAUCCCUGGCCUGGUAACUUUCAUAUGCUAUGGGGGCAGCUGAAAAAGAAAAAAUAAAAAAGGAACUGAAAUGAGAGGACCACUGGCAACUACUACUUGCCAGGUGUCUGUGUGUGUGUGUAUGUUUCCCUAUUUAUUAAAAAAAAAAAAAAAAAACUAACAGCAAGUAAUAGGAAAGUAAAUUAUGGUUUAGCUUUAAACUAAGAGGUCAAGUUACCAGUAAAUUAUUACUAUAAAUGCUGAAGCUAUGCUAAAUAGGGAAGCAGAUAUUGCAGUUUUGUAGUUAAGAUUGGGCUUUGGACUCAUACCUGCGAUGUAAAUGCAGGCUUUAAAUUCUAGCUGUAUGACCCUGAGCAAAUCACUUAACAUGUGAGUGUCAGGAUGGUUAGAAGCACAAUGAGAUGGUAGAGUAUUAGGGUUUGAUAUUAGGUAAUCCUUCAAUAGAUAUUUCCAUUUGUGUAAUUAAAAACAGGGCAUUGAAAAAAUGAUGAAAAGUCUAUCUAAUGUUAGGUUAUAGAAUUAUACUUUUAUUUUUUAUUUUUUGCUUUUCAGGGCUACACCCAUGGCAUAUGGAGGUUCCUAGGCUAGGGGGCGAAUCGCAGCUACAGCUGCUGGCCAUGGCCACAGCCACAGCAACCCUGGAUCUGAGUCACAUCUGCGAACUACAUGGCUCAUGGCAUUGCUGGAUCUCCAAUCCACUGAGUGAGGCCAGGUAUCCUCAUGGAUAUUAGUUAGGUUCGUUUCUGCUUCGCCACAGUGGGAACUCUAGAAUUAUACUUUUCUAUAAUUAAUAAUUUUUAUUAUGUUAUUAACAAUCUUAAAUAAAUAGCUGACAAACAGUGUUGAGAGAACAGCUUUAGUUAAAAUUAAGUUCUGGAAUUCCUUUUGUGGCUCAGUGGAUUAAGAAUCCCAUUAGUAUCCAUGAGGAUGCAGGUUGGUUUUUUUUUCUGGUUUUUUUGUUUUUUAGGUCCUCACCCGCCGCAUAUGGGGGUUCCCAGGCUAGGGGUCCAAUUGAAGCCACAGCUGCCUGCACACGCCACAGCCACCUGCACAUGCCACAGCAACAUGCGAUCCCUAACCCACCGAGCAGGCCAGGGAUCGAACCCACAAUGUCACAGUUCCUAGUUGGAUUCGUUUCCGCUGUGCCACAACAGGAACUCUGAGGAUGCAGGUUUGAUCCCUGGCCUCACUGGGUUAAGGAUCCAGUGUUGCUGAGAGCCAUGGCUAGGUCACAAAUGCAGCCUGGAUCUGGCAUUGUAGCUCUGAUUCGACCCCUACCCUGGGAACUUCCAUAUGACGUGGGUGUGGCCAUUAAAAAAAAAAAAAAGAAAGAAAAUUAAGAAGUCCUAACUCAUCCCUGGUGUUAAAGUUGUUUUUCUUUCAAUCGGGAAAACACUGAAAUUGUACUGUUUGUUCUCUACGACUUCCUUCACAAGUUAUCUUCUAAAUGUUGGUUCUUCCUUUCACUCCUCUUAGGAUUGUUUUCUUUGCACUCUUUUAUAUACUAAUUUGUCUCCAAAGUUUGAUUUAUUGCCUUUUGGGGGAUGAUCCCCAAGUAUAACUUACUCCAAUAGACCUAGAUCCAUAUUUCCAAUAAAAACCUCUACCUGAAUAUUCCAA